This 87-nucleotide transfer RNA is filed under the name Rhodospirillaceae bacterium. RNAcentral's name for it is "tRNA-Leu". It matches the Rfam family "tRNA". From Rfam's summary of the family: Transfer RNA (tRNA) molecules are approximately 80 nucleotides in length. Their secondary structure includes four short double-helical elements and three loops (D, anti-codon, and T loops). Further hydrogen bonds mediate the characteristic L-shaped molecular structure. tRNAs have two regions of fundamental functional importance: the anti-codon, which is responsible for specific mRNA codon recognition, and the 3' end, to which the tRNAs corresponding amino acid is attached (by aminoacyl-tRNA synthetases). tRNAs cope with the degeneracy of the genetic code in two manners: having more than one tRNA (with a specific anti-codon) for a particular amino acid; and 'wobble' base-pairing, i.e. permitting non-standard base-pairing at the 3rd anti-codon position. The record is from RNAcentral. Lineage: Bacteria; Pseudomonadati; Pseudomonadota; Alphaproteobacteria; Rhodospirillales; Rhodospirillaceae.
GACAAUGUGUCCGAGUCUGGUCCAAGGAGUGGCACUCAAGUUGCCAUGGCGCAAGCCUCGCAGGUUCGAAUCCUGCCAUUGUCACCA